GGGUCAGUAGGCUGGUCGUGCCACCGGUACGUACUGGUCUCACUGAUUCCUCCUUCCUGAAGAACCGUAAUGCCAUUAAGUUGGUGUUGCGGGGAAACAGGACUGUUACUUUGAAAAAAUUAGAGUGAUUAAAGCAAGCUAACGCUUGAAUACAUUAGCAUGGAAUAAUGAAAUAGGACGAUUGAUCCUAUUUUGUUGGUUUCUAGGAUUGACGUA
Molecule: ribosomal RNA, 216 nt
Filed under: Glomeromycotina sp.
Lineage: Eukaryota; Fungi; Glomeromycota
Description: partial small subunit ribosomal RNA
Rfam family: Eukaryotic small subunit ribosomal RNA (bases 40-216)
Source: RNAcentral